GUGCUGAGGUUGUGCAGUGGAAACUAUUGUUAAUAUAGUUAAAGAUAUAGUAAAAUAAGGGUUUAGCCCUAGUGUAAAAAAAAUAAGAUAAUUGUUAAUUUUAACCAAGAGCACUAAACAGGGGCUGCCCCACCGGAGCCGCAGAGUCUUUGUGUGUUAAACUUUUUAGAUAAAUUUAGCUGAGAAUUUCUGCAAAAAGACUGACUUUUAUGUUAACAGGAUUAAAGACUAGAUUACAGA
This is a long non-coding RNA of Cervus elaphus (red deer), 240 nucleotides long. RefSeq lists it as uncharacterized. The transcript is spliced from 3 exons. Lineage: Eukaryota; Metazoa; Chordata; Mammalia; Artiodactyla; Cervidae. The record is from RefSeq and is a predicted model, not a curated record.